UACGCAGGCGGCUAGGAAAGAAGGAUGUGAAAUCCCAGGGCUUAACCUUGGAACUGCAUUCUUAACUGCCUAGCUAGAGUAUGUCAGAGGGGGGUAGGAAUUCCACGUGUAGCAGUGAAAUGCGUAGAUAUGUGGAGGAAUACCGAUGGCGAAGGCAGCCCCCUCGGGAUAAUACUGACGCUCAGGUACGAAAGCGUGGGGAGCAAACA
This 209-nucleotide ribosomal RNA is filed under the name uncultured bacterium. Its description in RNAcentral is "partial 16S ribosomal RNA". It matches the Rfam family "Bacterial small subunit ribosomal RNA", at positions 568 to 774 of the family's 1533-position model. The record is from RNAcentral.